Molecule: unclassified non-coding RNA, 520 nt
Filed under: uncultured Glomus
Lineage: Eukaryota; Fungi; Glomeromycota; Glomeromycetes; Glomerales; Glomeraceae
Description: SSU rRNA
Rfam family: Eukaryotic small subunit ribosomal RNA
Source: RNAcentral
AGUAGCCGCGGUAAUUCCAGCUCCAAUAGCGUAUAUUAAAGUUGUUGCAGUUAAAAAGCUCGUAGUUGAAUUUCGGGAUUAAUAUGUUGGUCGUGCCUUGGUACGUACUGGCAUUAUUGAUUCCUACCUUCUGAAGAACCUCGAUGUCAUUAAUUUGGUGUCUUGGGGAAUCAGGACCGUUACUUUGAAAAAUUAGAGUGUUUAAAGCAGGCUCGCGCUUGAAUACAUUAGCAUGGAAUAAUAAAAUAGGACGUUUGAUUCUAUUUUGUUGGUUUCUAGGAUCGACGUAAUGAUUAAUAGGGAUAGUUGGGGGCAUUAGUAUUCAAUUGUCAGAGGUGAAAUUCUUGGAUUUAUUGAAGACUGACUACUGCGAAAGCAUUUGCCAAGGAUGUUUUCAUUAAUCAAGAACGAAAGUUAGGGGAUCGAAGACGAUCAGAUACCGUCGUAGUCUUAACCAUAAACUAUGCCGACUAGGGAUCGGAUGAUGUUAAUUUUUAAUGACUCAUUCGGCGCCUUACGG